CUGGCGGCACGCCUAACACAUGCAAGUCGAACGCAGUAGCAAUACUGAGUGGCAAACGGGUGAGUAUAAUGUGGGAAUCUGCCUUUUGGUUUGGAAUAACACGGGGAAACUUGUGCUAAUACCGAAUAAGCCCUUACGGGGAAAGUUUUAAUGCCAAAAGAUGAGCCCGCACUUGAUUAGCUAGUUGGUAAGGUAAAAGCUUACCAAGGCAACGAUCAAUAGCUGUUCUUAGAGGAAGACCAGCCACAUUGGGACUGAGACACGGCCCAGACUCCUACGGGAGGCAGCAGUGGGGAAUCUUGCACAAUGGGGGAAACCCUGAUGCAGCGAUGCCGCGUGAGUGAAGAAGGCCUUUGGGUUGUAAAACUCUUUCGUCGGGGAAGAAAAUGACUGUACCCGAAUAAGA
Molecule: ribosomal RNA, 406 nt
Filed under: uncultured bacterium
Lineage: Bacteria
Description: bacterial SSU rRNA
Rfam family: Bacterial small subunit ribosomal RNA
Source: RNAcentral